GACGAACGCUGGCGGCGUGCUUAACACAUGCAAGUCGAGCGGAAAGGCCACUUCGGUGGUACUCGCGCGGCUAACGGGUGAGUAACACGUGAGUAAUCUGCCCUUGGCUUUGUGAUAGCCACCGGAAACGGAGAUUAAUACCUGAUACGACCACUCCAGUCAUCUGGUGGUGGUGGAAAGAUUUUCGGCCAGGGAUGUGCUCGCGGCCUAUCAGCUUGAUGGUGGGGUAAUGGCUCACCAUGGCUUCGACGGGUAGCCGGCCUGAGAGGGUGACCGGUCACACUGGGACUGAGACACGGCCCAGACUCCUACGGGAGGCAGCAGUGGGGAAUAUUGGACAAUGGGCGGAAGCCUGAUCCAGCAACGCCGCGUGAGGGAUGACGGCCUUCGGGUUGUAAACCUCUUUCGGUAGGGACGAAGCGCAAGUGACGGUACCUAGUAAAGAAGCACCGGCCAACUACGUG
RNAcentral lists this ribosomal RNA (464 nucleotides) under uncultured bacterium. Its description in RNAcentral is "partial 16S ribosomal RNA". It matches the Rfam family "Bacterial small subunit ribosomal RNA", at positions 28 to 507 of the family's 1533-position model. The record is from RNAcentral.